RNAcentral lists this ribosomal RNA (178 nucleotides) under Salmonella enterica. RNAcentral's name for it is "partial 23S ribosomal RNA". It matches the Rfam family "Bacterial large subunit ribosomal RNA", at positions 1 to 179 of the family's 2925-position model. The record is from RNAcentral. Lineage: Bacteria; Pseudomonadati; Pseudomonadota; Gammaproteobacteria; Enterobacterales; Enterobacteriaceae. RNAcentral also lists the same sequence under 2 other names.
GGUUAAGCGACUAAGCGUACACGGUGGAUGCCCUGGCAGUCAGAGGCGAUGAAGGGCGUGCUAAUCUGCGAUAAGCGCCGGUAAGGUGAUAUGAACCGUUAUAACCGGCGAUACCCGAAUGGGGAAACCCAGUGUGAUUCGUCACACUAUCAUUAACUGAAUCCAUAGGUUAAUGAGG